UAGUUGAAGAUAUGGAUCCACUUUGGUUGUUUGGGUAGAUCAUUGAAACUUAAAUUAUCUUGAUUGGUUCAAUAGAUUAGUUAUGGGGUGGAAGACGCUUCUCACCACCAUGUCUCUCCUUAUGAUUAAAUUAAUUAGGGAACGUCCUCUAAUUAAUUACUAAUUAACAAAUUGUCAAGGAACGUCCUUGGGCCGUAGGCAUCAAAACAAUUGUCAAUUGCAUAAAGAAAUAGAGAGAUCCAAUCCUAGCUACCCAAACGUAUGGAGAUAACGCUAGAUCAUGCAAUUCCUUGAUUUUUACGCCAAGUGUUCUAAGUUCAGAAUAUUUCCAGCAAUUACGGACUAAAAAUAAUCCCAACUAACAAUCAAUUAACUUUGAAAUUAAAAUCAAGUGGCCAAUUUGAUCAAAACAACACAGUAAUCAUGU
RNAcentral lists this long non-coding RNA (427 nucleotides) under Manihot esculenta (cassava). Its description in RNAcentral is "long non-coding RNA (MESC_LNC011995)". Lineage: Eukaryota; Viridiplantae; Streptophyta; Magnoliopsida; Malpighiales; Euphorbiaceae. The record is from RNAcentral.